UUCUGGGUCUGCUUGAAUUGGGGUUUAGUCCCUGUGUCUUGAUACAGCCCUGAUUUUGUUCUGCCUUGCUGCUUAAUUAAAAAAAUAGUUUAAGGUGUCCUGCAUAAGUGAUAUAUAUUUUUCCCUAUAUGAAGUCAUUCUUUUUUGAAUGACCCCCCCCCCACAAAAAAAAAAAAAUCCCACAUGCAUACUACCCUUUAGGGCUAAGCCCCGGGUGUUUCAAAUGUCUGGCUCCGCCUCUGGUCUCAACCAAGUACUGUAUGGUUUUUAUAUUUUUAGUAGUGUGUCACACAAACAGCAAAUAUUGUCAAAAAGAGUAAGAAAUCUCUGGGGGUGUUUUGAUUCAUUUUGGGGGUGCUUCAGCACCCCCAAAAAUGGGCUAAAAACGCCCCUGUCCCCACCAAUAAUUUGAUCUCUUCGAGUAAAGAAAGAGAAACCCGAUAGAAAGAAAAAAAAACGAUCUGUCAGCGUCUCAUUCACCCAGUGGUGCAGAAAGAGUUAAAUUACAUUCUCUACUGGAGUUCUACCUCAUGUGACAAAUAUGGCUAAUGUGAUUCGCUGUGCCUUUCAGGGAGCUCUGUUUAGUUUUAGCACACCCGAGCCUCAACUCCCGCGGCCCGGUACCAAAUGACUCACGGACCGUGGCCUGGGGGUUGGGGACCGCUGCCUUACAGCAUAGCAGCAUAGGAUCAAUGGAUCAGUCGUGGAUUCAGCAAAAGGUUUAAGUUUCUUCUUCAUAUGGCUAUUCUUCUGUAGUCUUUUUUAAAUUAAUUUAUUUUCUUUGUUUUCUGAUAUUUAUUUUUUUCAAUGCAUUUCUUAAAUAAAUUACUAAAAUGUUUUUUACAGAUAAAAGGAAGCCUCAGAUCAUUGGAAAUACAACCGUUAAACUGGGAGAUGUUCUGAAUCUGACCUGCAGUGUUGAAAGUUUCCCCCCAGCUCUUAUAGUCUGGAGAAGUACCACCACAAUCCUUCUGACUAAAACUUAUCCUGAUCUGCACAAUGACACUGGAUCAGCUACACUUGUCAUUCAGAAUGUGAUAGCAGAACAUUCUGGACAGUACAUCUGUGCAACCAAAUAUCUGCACACAACUGUGACUUCAUAUGUCAAUGUGACCGUGACAUGGUUUUCAAAAAUAGUGAAUGGCUCUGGAUGUGUGCUUCAGGCAGAGGUUUUGACCUGUGUGUGUCUCAGUGAAGGGUUUCCUUUACCGACUGUCAAUUGGCCAUUUCUGAAGAACCGCACUGAUUACUCUGCCCUUACCACUGUGUCAAACCACACAGUAAACAGCACAGUCAGUUUAACUGUGAAAAACAAUGGCAACACUACUUUUGAAUGUAUCAGCAACAAUGGAAUGGGGGAAGCAAAAGAAAGUCUCACAAUCCAAAAAAACUUGCCAGACAAUAAUAUUUUUAGGCUGGAAUACGUGAACGUCAUCAUUGUCUUUUUCACUGGGGCAGUUCUUGCAACAAUCAUUUGCUUUUUAGCUAAAAAUUGCUACAGAAAAAAUCAGAACAUUCAAAAAUUGAGAAAUUCAGAUGAGAUUUUGGAGAUGGAGACACAUCAAAAUAAACUGGUAUUAAUUCAUCAGACAUUUUUUGAUUUACUUGUCAAAAUAUGAGUUUCUGCACAAAUUUUGAUAUCUUUGAAGCAUCCAUAGUUUACUUGUUUACAUUUUACUGUAAGUUCCUACAUAAAGGUUCUGAAAGAAAGUAGUUCAGAUUAAGAUUAGCCUUAAUAAUAAGAUUAUUUAGAUUUUUUAAUUAACUCCUUGUAUACAGUGGUGUGAAAAAGUGGUUGCCCCAUCCUAGUUUCCUAUUUUAUUUGUAUGUUUGUCACACUUAAAUAUUUCAGAUCAUAAAACAACUUUAGAUAUUAGACAAAGAAAAAAGUCAACACAAAAGGCAGUUUACUUAGGCCACUCCUAAGUCUUCAGUUUGUUUUUCCUAAGCCAUUCAGAGGUGGACUUGCUGGUGAGUUUUGGAUCACUGGCAAAACAGUUUUUUUCCCCUUUAUGCUCAUUUACUCAACACUGGUUUUCAUCUUGGAACUCUCCCAUGGAUGCCAUUUUUGCCCAUUUUUGCUUAUGGUGGCGUCACGCACACUGGCCUUAACUGAGGCAAGUGAGGCCUGCAGUUCUUUGGAUGUUGUUCUGGGGUCUUUUGUGACCUCUUGAAUGAGUUUUCACAAUGUUUUUAGGUUUUAGGGCAAUUUUGGUUGGCGGGCCACUCCAGAUCACCACUAUUCCAUGUUUUUGCCAUUUGUGGAUAAUGCCUCUCACUGUGGUUCGCGUGGAUUCCCACAGAUUUAGAAAUGUCUUUAGAACCUUUUCCAGACUGAUACAUCUCAAUUACCUUGUUUCUUAUUUGUUGUUGACUUUCUUUGUAUUGCAACAUGAUUUUGAGGCCUACUCAACUUUGUCAUGCAGGUCCUAUUUAGAGUAAGUGAUUUCUUGAUUGAAAAUGGGUGUGGCAGUAAUCAGGCAUGGGUGCGGCGAGAGAAAUUAAACUCCGCUUUCCAAAGAUGAGAUACACCACCAUAACUUUUUUACACAGGGCCAUGCAGCUUCGGAUUUUUUUUUUAAGCUUCAGUUCUUUCAUCAAGCUGAUUGAUAAAAAGAAAAAUAACCCAGAAUGAAACAAUGUAAAUGUACAAGACAGACAAGAUGAGUCUCUCUUCCUUUGUUUUUAACAGGUAUAUAAUAGUCAAGCAUUACAAGACACUCAGACCCUGAGCUCAAACAGUGGGCCAAAGGAGGUGGAGUAUGCCAAUAUAGAUUUUUCCCUGCUGAAAAGAAACAGUGGCAGGGAGGCAGCAAGGAAGCAAGAGAGCACAAAGACAGACUAUGCUGAAAUUAAGAAAGUGGUCAAAGAACAAUGGGGAGAUGAUGCUGGGGAGGAAGGAGACAUAUUGGAGGGCCAAGAGAAGAAUGUGAUAAUGGAGUUGAAACACUGUGAACCAGAAAGGGUAGAAGGGCGAAAUGAGGCAGUGAAUGAAACGUGAAUGUUAUAACUAGAGAUGGACCGAUCCGAUAUUACGUAUCAGUAUCGGUCCGAUACUGACCUAAAUUACUGGAUCGGAUAUCGGCGAGAAAUAAAAAAUGUAAUCCGAUCCAUUAAAUAUCAAAAAAACACCUCACAAAACUUGCGACAAGGCGUAACUCGGCUCAUAACCGUAGCAAGUAGGAGCAGUAUGCCUCACGUGAUAGAGCGGCUGUGUGUAUUUGGAGCCUCGCUACCAAACCAGCAUUUCAUCUCCGAGGAAGUUAUCCCAGAGAGAAGUAAAGCAAGUGUGUAAGUUCAUCUCUGAAUGUUUGUAAAGCAUUCCCGCGUUAAGCUUAACAACCGAUAUAUGGAGCGACUGCCUCUCUCUCUCCUGCUGCUACUUCAAUCGUGAAACUGCUUAAUGAUCAGCUGAUCGGCUUUUCUGUGCGAGUCCAUCUCUCUUUUUUUGUAUUUGGCCCACUUUGCACCAGAACGAGGAAACCAGCGGCAGAACAACAGCAGCACGUUUAAACUUGAUAAGCUGUUGUUAGAAUUUAUUUAAUAUUACUUUCUAGACCAGGAUCUUUUUCUACGUAGCUGACGGCUGGUAACUGUGCAGGGGCGGAUCUAGCAAAGUUUAGCCAGGGGGGCCGAUAGGGCAUGAACAGGGAAAAGGGGGCACAAAGACAUACUUUUCUUCCUUAUUCUCAUUUGAAAUGUCUAGCUUAUAAUAAAUAAUUAUCUGAAUCUUACACCCAAAGUUUUAAUCUGAUGUAAAAUGUAUAGAAGUCCAUUACUGUAUAUAGUAACUGUUAAGUCUAAUAUACCCUAGUAAGCUAGUACUUUUUCCUUUGGGAAGGUACCAUCUGUGCAGUCUGCAAUUCUGUUGAAGAAAGAUGUUGAAUCUAUUUAAUUAUUCUUGAAAAAUAAUUUAUUUCUGUGCAUUUUUUUUCACCCUGCAUCAAAUUAAAGUUGAUUACAUCGAUUAAGCAUCAUGAGGUGGAGGGUGGGGGG
Molecule: long non-coding RNA, 3996 nt
Organism: Oreochromis aureus
Lineage: Eukaryota; Metazoa; Chordata; Actinopteri; Cichliformes; Cichlidae
Source: Ensembl